CUCACCCUGGGCACUUUUGCUUGUUCUGAUAAGAUUCAUGCAACCACACACUGUGCCAGGUCAAGCUUUUUGAUUCUGACUUCUGCUCGCUUUCAUGUAGGUAUCUGGAAGCGCAGAAAGGAGGUUAAAUAAACACAAAGCUCAUUAAAAUAAACCUCCACCAACUCCCACUCCCUUUUCUUUUUUCUCUGCUGUACAGGAAUGUGCUGUCGGGCUUCACAUCCUACGCAGAACUACUGCAGGACUUCAGGGUGUUUCUCCUCAGGGAAACGUCUGACUUCAUCGUUAGUGUUCAUGCCCUCGGCCUUUUGAUGUGACUGCGCUGUUUGUUCACCAGCGCCAGCGGUCUGCUGUCUCCCAUUCAGCUAUCGGCUCACUUGGUAAAUCCCUCCUCCCACCACCACACACUGGAAGGCUGCACCAGAUGCAUUGUUGGCAUUUGACACCAGGAGGUAAGCAUGGGGCCCUUCACUGAACACUUCUUGCAACAUCGAGGGAGGAGGAAGCUGCUGUGGUUUGGUUGCUGCAGAAACCAGCUGAAAGAGAGGAAGGUUCAGUCCAUCCAUUGGCAUGAGGAUUUAUCUGAUCAAAGCAACUCAGCUAAACCUUUCACCAAGGGAGUGUCAGCUGCUUGCAGAUGGAGAUCCAGGCUGCUGACAGAGCUUAACAUGAAGCAGUAGGGAGUCAACUGGACUCUUAACUAGCUGAGGAAGCUGGAGUACCCAGAGAGAACCCACGCAUACACAGGGAGAACAUGCAGACUCCAUGCAGAAAGACCCCAGGCCAGGAGUCAAAUCCAGGACCUUCUUGCUGCAAGGCAACAGUGCUACCAACUGCACCACAGUGCAACCCUAAACCUUAAAACUUUGGGUUUAUAUUAUCUGUAAGCCAUAAUCAUCAAAAUGACAAGAAAUAAAGGCUUGAAAUAUUUCACUGUCUAAUCAAUCUAUAUGUGAGUUUAUUUUCUAAACUGGGUGACAGAAAAUAUUGAACUUUUUCACAAUCAAAUUUUUUUUUGUAGAGUACCUGUACACAUUGUUCCUUUUUAUCUUAAUUCUGUUUCCUUUAAAGUUUAUAUAUGUAUACCUAAUGUCUGUACGCCGUGAGCGAAUGAAACUGAAGCAAAAUGCCUUGUUUGUGCUCACAAACCUGAAGACUGUAAUGUAUUAAAAUGAAUUGGGUUGACUGGGACUGAGUUUGGAUUCAAUUGGAUUCUAUAUAAUUACAUGUGAGUUUGACAGCUUUGAGAUGCUAUUGCUGUGAACUGGUGUUAUUUUUAAAUAAACUGAUCUGAAUUGAAAACUGGUGCAGUGCAUAAUGGGGACUGUGAAUUAUACAUAUAUAAUACUCAAAUGCUGUACCAUAUAGAGUCGCCAUGUGGCCUGGUGUGAGAGUCAUGAUCUGUAAUAGAUUUGUAAACUGAUUUCUUCACACAGAGAGAAGAGCUUUCACUCUUUUCCUUUGUUUAUUAGAGAAAUUAACAAUGUAUUGAACAACAUCUGGACAAGGGCAGCAAUAACAGGCACCUGUCUGUUUCAGCCGAUUGGUACAAAGGUAAAGAGGAAGACAUUUGAAGCUAUGAAAGGUGAACUGAUGUAAGACAAUGGAGAAUGGAGAAAGCAGAGUAGUAACGGCCUCUUUUGUGUUUAAAGGAUUCAGACUUCUUUAUAAAUUCAUGGUUGGAGAAAAUGUACUGUAAAUACCAGAGGUCUGCAACCUGUGACACAAUGUGUUACCUUCUAGUCUUUCUAGAGUGCUGUUAUUAGUUUUAAAUUAAGUCAUUUGACUUUAAAUCGUGGCGUUCUUAUUUUGGAAUUAUCAAAGAUAAAUUUUUCUAAGACAAGUUAAUUUAUAUUGUCAAUCGUUAGCAAUAAGUGUGGAGAAAUCUUUUUAUUUAUUAUUCACACAGGUGUACCACAAGGCUGAUAUCUUUGUCCACUUCUUUUCAGUUUAUUAAAAAAUUUGUGCUGUUAAGGAGUUUCUAACAGACACCAAUGACAGAAGAAAUGUUUUAUUUGUUGUUAUUUGUAGUUUUUUAACUGUGCUAACUGUUUGGUUGCACCCAUUUAAUAUUUUCCUGGCAGAGAUGCACGGGGCUCCUGAACUGCAGAUGUUUUUAUGUUUUUUUAGUUCUGAAACCUACAAGUAAAAAUGAAAUUACCUGUGGCUCUUCACCGUAUUCUUUUAGUAGGUAAAGUUUUAUAUGUCGCCAACAUGGCUUGUGCAAAAGUGAAAGAAAUUUUACCACAUUGUCGACUUUUUUCUCACCCCUUUAGCUGUACUAUUACACACAGGUGACAUCUGAUGGUAAUGAGUGGUGUUUUAUGUCAUUUUAUCAGAUUAAAGAGG
Long non-coding RNA from Girardinichthys multiradiatus, 2349 nucleotides. RefSeq lists it as uncharacterized. The transcript is spliced from 5 exons. Lineage: Eukaryota; Metazoa; Chordata; Actinopteri; Cyprinodontiformes; Goodeidae. The record is from RefSeq and is a predicted model, not a curated record.